Molecule: ribosomal RNA, 377 nt
Filed under: uncultured eukaryote
Lineage: Eukaryota
Description: partial 18S ribosomal RNA
Rfam family: Eukaryotic small subunit ribosomal RNA
Source: RNAcentral
CAAUAGCGUAUAUUUAAGUUGCUGCAGUUAAAAAGCUCGUAGUUGGAUUUCGGGUGGGAAUGGCCGGUCCGCCGUUUCGGUGUGCACUUGCUACGCCCACCUUGCUGCCGGGGACGUGCUCUUGAGUUCACGCUCGGGACACGGAGUCGGCGAGGUUACUUUGAGUAAAUUAGAGUGUUCAAAGCAGGCCUACGCUCUGAAGACAUUAGCAUGGAAUAACACGAUAGGACUCUGGCCUAUCUUGUUGGUCUGUAGGACCGGAGUAAUGAUUAAGAGGGACAGUCGGGGGCAUUCGUAUUUCAUUGUCAGAGGUGAAAUUCUUGGAUUUAUGAAAGACGAACUACUGCGAAAGCAUUUGCCAAGGAUGUUUUCAUUAA